GCGCCUGUAGCUCAGCCGGACAGAGCAACGGCCUUCUAAGCCGUGGGUCGCGGGUUCGAAUCCUGCCGGGCGCGCCA
Molecule: transfer RNA, 77 nt
Filed under: Aminivibrio pyruvatiphilus
Lineage: Bacteria; Thermotogati; Synergistota; Synergistia; Synergistales; Aminobacteriaceae
Also listed under: 6 other names
Description: tRNA-Arg
Rfam family: tRNA
About the family: Transfer RNA (tRNA) molecules are approximately 80 nucleotides in length. Their secondary structure includes four short double-helical elements and three loops (D, anti-codon, and T loops).
Source: RNAcentral